This is a long non-coding RNA of Phalaenopsis equestris, 157 nucleotides long. RefSeq lists it as uncharacterized. The transcript has 4 exons. NCBI's taxonomy places the organism in Eukaryota, Viridiplantae, Streptophyta, Magnoliopsida, Asparagales, Orchidaceae. The record is from RefSeq and is a predicted model, not a curated record.
UGAUGUCUUCAUGAAGGCAACAUCAAUAGAAGGAAAGAAAACUGGAGUAAUCACUGAUUACAUAAUGAAGAUCCUGGGAUUGGAUAUUUGUGCCGAUACAAUGAUAGGAGAUGAAAUGAUAAGAGGUAUUUCUGGAGGACAGAAAAGGCGUGUCACC